Molecule: ribosomal RNA, 497 nt
Filed under: uncultured bacterium
Lineage: Bacteria
Description: partial 16S ribosomal RNA
Rfam family: Bacterial small subunit ribosomal RNA
Source: RNAcentral
GAUGAACGCUGGCGGCGUGCCUAAUACAUGCAAGUCGAGCGAACAGACGAGGAGCUUGCUCCUCUGACGUUAGCGGCGGACGGGUGAGUAACACGUGGAUAACCUACCUAUAAGACUGGGAUAACUUCGGGAAACCGGCGCUAAUACCGUAUAAUAUAUUUAACCGCAUGGUUCAAUAGUGAAAGACGGUUUUGCUGUCACUUAUCGAUGUAUCCGCGCCGCAUUAGCUAGUUGGUAAGGUAACGGCUUACCAAGGAAACGAUGCGUAGCCGAACUGAGAGGGGGAUCGGCCACACUGGAACUGAGAGACGGUCCAGACUCCUACGGGAGGCAGCAGUAGGGAAGCUGCCGCAAAGGGCGAAAGCCUGACGGAGCAACGCCGCGUGAGGGAUGAAGGUCUUCGGAUCGUAAAACGCUGUUAUUAGGGAAGAACAAAUGUGUAAGUAACUAUGCACGUCUUGACGGUACCUAAUCAGAAAGCCACGGCUAACUACGUG